RNAcentral lists this long non-coding RNA (1251 nucleotides) under Zostera marina. RNAcentral's name for it is "long non-coding RNA (ZMAR_LNC005816)". The record is from RNAcentral. Lineage: Eukaryota; Viridiplantae; Streptophyta; Magnoliopsida; Alismatales; Zosteraceae.
UUUAUGUUUAUAGGUUGGUAAUUGCAAUAAUAAUAUCUUGAUGUACUAAUUAAUAAAUAUUUGAUGAGAUCAUUGUGUUUGUCCAAUUCUAAAGAAAACAAACGGAGGAUAGUCGGCAACAUCAUUUAUGGUUUACAGAUUUCGGUCAGAUCUAAAUCAUUAAUGCUUCCUCGGUCCCCUACUCCUCUCUCCUCUCUUAAGUUCGCUGUUUGACAAAUUGACAUUAUGAUGAAACAACGAAAGAUACUGACAUUAUUAAUUGAAAUAUUGAUACCGAAAAAGUGAAAAUUGAUGUAAAUAUAAUGGUUAACUCAAAUAUGAUGAAAAAUUGUUGAAAAAUCAAAUUUUUAAUCUUUAGUAUAUGACUUUAGUUAGUAUAUCCCGAAAAUAGAUUUUUUUUUUUUUUUAAAUCUUUCGUAGUUCUGUUAUUAAAAAGAAAAAGGAAAACAAACAUUUUUACUUCUUAAUUGGGUCCGGCAUUCCAAUGUACCGCUUCCCAAGUCCCACGGGUUACACCGACACAGCAUCUCUCCUGGGGUUAUACGUAGUUACGUACACAAGAGUUGAAUAAUUUAAGUCUUAAGUACACGACAGGUGACAGUACACUGCCACGCCUUUAAAUCCAUUUAUUUUUGUCAUUUGUUAUCAGAUAAAUUCAAAAUAAAUGGAAAUAGUCAAAAUAUUGAAGCAUUUAAAUAUCCAUUUAACCAAAAAAUUGAACUUUAAAAUGAUUCUAUUGAAACUGUGAGCUCUGUUUUUCAAUCGGUUGUGUUGAUAGUUAGCAAGUCUCUGUUGUGUAUUUACAGUGCUAAAGGAGAAAUGGGUCCAUCGAUUUUUUUUUAUUCAUUUGAUAUAUUCAUCAAUAAAUUCGAUUUGAUAGAAUGAUAGGAUUAACUUAUAAAUAAAUAGUUAUAAAUCGUGAGAUUAAAAUUAACGAUAUUUAAAAAUAAAAUAAAAAUACUAAAAUAUUUAUUAUAAAAUUAUAUAAUUAGUUGAGAUUUGAGAAGUUGAGACUUGAAUGUCAAAUUAUCUGUUUAUACUUUAUAAUAUAGUAUUAGAAAUUAAUCAAAUUAUUAUUUAAGAAUAUGAAUAUUUAAUUUAAAACAGUGAUGUCAGUAAUGUAAAUAUUUCAAGUAUGAAGGUUAUAACUUACCGAAUUCUUUUUUUCUCUUCAAUCGUCUCUGUUCCCACCGAUCCGAAUGGUCCAAACUCCUAACAUACUCCAUACGGCUGCAUAAAGAAAUGAAAGGA